AUUGAAACACUGGUUCCUGUACAAUCACUGAAGUUAAGCAACAUUGAGCCUGGCUAGUACCUAGAUGAGAGACUGCUUGUGAAUACUGGGUGCU
This is a non-coding RNA of Acanthosepion pharaonis, 94 nucleotides long. Lineage: Eukaryota; Metazoa; Mollusca; Cephalopoda; Sepiida; Sepiidae. The record is from the annotation of a GenBank genome assembly.